RNAcentral lists this ribosomal RNA (253 nucleotides) under uncultured bacterium. RNAcentral describes it as "partial 16S ribosomal RNA". It matches the Rfam family "Bacterial small subunit ribosomal RNA", at positions 524 to 776 of the family's 1533-position model. The record is from RNAcentral.
UACAGAGGUGGCAAGCGUUGUUCGGAAUUACUGGGCGUAAAGGGCGCGUAGGCGGUCGGGCAAGUCCUGUGUGAAAUCCCUCGGCUCAACUGAGGAACUGCACGGGAAACUGCCUGACUUGAGUUCGGGAGAGGGAAGCGGAAUUCCGGGUGUAGCGGUGAAAUGCGUAGAUAUCCGGAGGAACACCGGUGGCGAAGGCGGCUUCCUGGACCGACGCUGACGCUGAGGCGCGAAAGCUAGGGGAGCAAACGGG